CCGUAGCUCAGUUGGUAGAGUGCAUGGCUCAUAACCAUGUCGGCGAGGGUUCGAAUCCCUCCGGUC
This 66-nucleotide transfer RNA is filed under the name uncultured Methanobrevibacter sp. It matches the Rfam family "tRNA", at positions 5 to 66 of the family's 71-position model. From Rfam's summary of the family: Transfer RNA (tRNA) molecules are approximately 80 nucleotides in length. Their secondary structure includes four short double-helical elements and three loops (D, anti-codon, and T loops). Lineage: Archaea; Methanobacteriati; Methanobacteriota; Methanobacteria; Methanobacteriales; Methanobacteriaceae. The record is from RNAcentral.